RNAcentral lists this ribosomal RNA (396 nucleotides) under uncultured Acidobacteriota bacterium. RNAcentral describes it as "bacterial SSU rRNA". It matches the Rfam family "Bacterial small subunit ribosomal RNA", at positions 975 to 1371 of the family's 1533-position model. The record is from RNAcentral. Lineage: Bacteria; Pseudomonadati; Acidobacteriota.
CUGGGCUUGAACUACCAUUGACCGGUGCAGAGAUGUGCCUUUUCGCAAGAACAGUGGCAGAGGUGCUGCAUGGCUGUCGUCAGCUCGUGUCGUGAGAUGUUGGGUUAAGUCCCGCAACGAGCGCAACCCUUACCCGUAGUUGCCAGCGCGUCAUGGCGGGAACUCUACGGGGACUGCCCGGGUUAACCGGGAGGAAGGUGGGGAUGAUGUCAAGUCCUCAUGGCCCUUAUGUCCAGGGCUACACACGUGCUACAAUGGGCGAUACAAACCGUUGCAAAGUCGCGAGAUGGAGCUAAUCGGAGAAAGUCGUCCUCAGUUCGGAUUGUAGUCUGCAACUCGACUACAUGAAGGUGGAAUCGCUAGUAAUCGUGUAUCAGAAUGAUACGGUGAAUACGU